CAAUGGAGAGUUUGAUCCUGGCUCAGGACGAACGCUGGCGGCGUGCUUCAUACAUGCAAGUCGAACGCGAAUCGGUAGCUUGCUACCGAGGAAAGUGGCGGACGGGUGAGUAAUGUGUAGAGAAUCUGCCCUAGAGCGGGGGACAACAGCUGGAAACGGUUGCUAAUACCCCAUAUGAGCGUAUCUGAAAUGGUAUUCUUGAAAACUCCGGUGCUCUAGGAUGAGUCUGCAUCUGAUUAGCUAGUUGGGGGUGUAAUGGACCACCAAGGCGACGAUCAGUAGCUGGUUUGAGAGGAUGAUCAGCCACAAUGGGACUGAGACACGGCCCAUACUCCUACGGGAGGCAGCAGUAGGGAAUUUUGCGCAAUGGGCGAAAGCCUGACGCAGCAACGCCGCGUGAUUGAAGAAGGUCUUCGGAUUGUAAAAAUCUUUUAUCAAGGACGAAGAAGUGACGGUACUUGAUGAAUAAGCUCCGGCUAACUACG
Molecule: ribosomal RNA, 485 nt
Filed under: Candidatus Gastranaerophilales bacterium HUM_13
Lineage: Bacteria; Bacillati; Candidatus Melainabacteria; Candidatus Gastranaerophilales
Description: bacterial SSU rRNA
Rfam family: Bacterial small subunit ribosomal RNA
Source: RNAcentral